RNAcentral lists this ribosomal RNA (254 nucleotides) under uncultured bacterium. Its description in RNAcentral is "partial 16S ribosomal RNA". It matches the Rfam family "Bacterial small subunit ribosomal RNA", at positions 524 to 776 of the family's 1533-position model. The record is from RNAcentral.
UACGAAGGGGGGCUAGCGUUGCUCGGAAUGACUGGGCGUAAAGGGCGCGUAGGCGGCUUGCACAGUCAGGCGUGAAAUUCCUGGGCUCAACCUGGGGACUGCGCUUGAGACGUGUGGGCUUGAGUGGGGAAGAGGGUCGUGGAAUUCCCAGUGUAGAGGUGAAAUUCGUAGAUAUUGGGAAGAACACCGGUGGCGAAGGCGGUCUGCUGGGCAGUUGCUGACACUGAGGCGCGACAGCGUGGGGAGCAAACAGG